UACAGAGGUCUCAAGCGUUGUUCGGAUUCAUUGGGCGUAAAGGGUGCGUAGGCGGCCACCGCAAGUCGGUUGUGAAAUCUCUGGGCUUAACCCAGAAAGGUCAACCGAUACUGCGGGGCUAGAGUGCAGAAGGGGCAACUGGAAUUCUCGGUGUAGCGGUGAAAUGCGUAGAUAUCGAGAGGAACACCUGCGGCGAAGGCGGGUUGCUGGGCUGACACUGACGCUGAAGCGCGAAAGCUAGGGGAGCGAACGGG
Molecule: ribosomal RNA, 254 nt
Filed under: uncultured bacterium
Lineage: Bacteria
Description: partial 16S ribosomal RNA
Rfam family: Bacterial small subunit ribosomal RNA
Source: RNAcentral